CUCUCUGCCUGUUAAAUAUAGAGAGUCGGACCUGCCCGGUGAAUAGUUUUUAACGGCCGCGGUAUUUUGACUGUGCGAAGGUAGCAUAAUCAUUUGCCCUAUGAUUGAGGGCUGGUAUGAAUGGUUUGACGUGAGCAAAGCUGUCUGUAUAUUGAUUUUUUAGAAUUUGAUUUGUAGGUGAAGAAGCCUAAAUUUUAUUAAAAGACAAGAAGACCCUAUUGAGCUUUAAAAAAAAGGUAAGUUAAACUUAUUUAUGAAUAAAUUUAUUUAUCUAUAAUUUUGGUUGGGGCGACUAAGGAACAGGUAAAACUUCCUUUAUGUAAUUAUAAUUUUGCGGAUGUUGAUCCAAGCAUUUUGAUUAGAGAAAUUAGUUACCAUAGGGAUAACAGCAUAAUUCCCUUUGAGAGUUCUUAUCGAAAAGGGAGUUUGUGACCUCGAUGUUGGACUAAAAUUUCCUAAAGAUGCAGCAGUCUUUAAGGGUUGGUCUGUUCGACCAUAAAAUU
This 503-nucleotide ribosomal RNA is filed under the name Dentiovula saturnalia. Its description in RNAcentral is "partial 16S ribosomal RNA". It matches the Rfam family "Bacterial large subunit ribosomal RNA", at positions 1819 to 2595 of the family's 2925-position model. The record is from RNAcentral. Lineage: Eukaryota; Metazoa; Mollusca; Gastropoda; Littorinimorpha; Ovulidae.